This 465-nucleotide ribosomal RNA is filed under the name uncultured bacterium. Its description in RNAcentral is "partial 16S ribosomal RNA". It matches the Rfam family "Bacterial small subunit ribosomal RNA", at positions 338 to 795 of the family's 1533-position model. The record is from RNAcentral.
CCUACGGGCGGCUGCAGUGAGGAAUAUUGGUCAAUGGCCGGAAGGCUGAACCAGCCAUGCCGCGUGAGGGAUGAAGGUCUUCGGAUCGUAAACCUCUGUCAGCAGGGAAGAACGGUCACUGUGCUAAUCAGCAGUGAAUUGACGGUACCUUCAAAGAAAGCACCGGCUAACUCCGUGCCAGCAGCCGCGGUAAUACGGAGGGUGCGAGCGUUAAUCGGAAUUACUGGGCGUAAAGGGCUCGUAGGCGGUAUGUCAAGUCAAGGGUGAAAUCCCCGGGCUCAACGUGGGAACUGCCUUUGAAACUGGCAAACUUGAGUGUGUGAGAGGAUAGUGGAAUUCCAGGUGUAGGAGUGAAAUGCGUAGAUAUCUGGAGGAACAUCAGUGGCGAAGGCGACUAUCUGGAACAUAACUGACGCUGAGGAGCGAAAGCGUGGGUAGCAAACAGGAUUAGAUACCCGAGUAGUC